This 951-nucleotide ribosomal RNA is filed under the name Dictyocaulus viviparus (bovine lungworm). RNAcentral describes it as "16S ribosomal RNA". The record is from RNAcentral. Lineage: Eukaryota; Metazoa; Nematoda; Chromadorea; Rhabditida; Metastrongylidae.
UUUGUUUUUUUUAAUUAAAAAUUGAUAUUGCAUAUCAUUUAUAGAAAAUAUUAUAUUUUAUGAUAAUUUAAAAAAAAAAGUAGAAUUUGUAUUUGUUUUUUUGUUACAAAAAAAAAUAUAUAUAAAUUAGUGUUGAGAUGUCGAUUUUUUAUAUAUUAGAUUUUUUUUUUAAAGAAUUAGAAAUUUGUUUUUCUUAAGAUUUUUUUUAUUAUUAGUAUGAAAUUUAAAGUUUUUGUUUUUUUUGUUUAAUAACGGUUGAUUUUUAUUAUUUGUUUUUUUUAUAAAAAAAAUAGUAAUUUUUUAUUAUUUAUAUUAUUAUAGUAUUAGUAAUUAGUUAUUUAUUAAUUUUUUUUUUUUUAUAUAUUUUUAUAAAUUGAAUUAUUAUUAAAUGUUUUUUAAAUACUUAGGUCUUUUUUUAAGAUUGGCUUCUGCCCGGUGUAAAUUUUAACGGCAGUCUUAGCGUGAGGACAUUAAGGUAGCAAAAUAAUUUGUGCUUUUAUUGGGUUCGAGUAUGAAUGAAGUUUUAAUAAUUUUUUUUAUUAAUUUUAUAAUGAAUUUUUUUUAUAAAUAAAAAAUUUUGUUUUUAUUUUUGCAAAGAUAAGUCUUCGUAAAUUCUUUUUAAUUUUUUUUUAAAAAAAAAUUAAAGUUUUCUAGGGUAGAAUUUUUUGUAUGUAUAUUUUUCUAUUAUUAGUUUAGAGAAUUACUUCGGAGUUAACAGAAAUUCAUAUUUUAUCUAGUUCUUAUAGUAAAGUAAGUUUUACAUCGGUGUUGUAUUUAUAUUGUUUGGGAGGUAGAAUGUUCAAUAUUUAAGACUGUUCUUCUUUUUAAUAUAACGUGAUAUUAGUUUAAUUCAUCGUGAGAUAGAAUUGUUUAUCUUGAAAAAUAAUUUUUUUUUUAGGUUUUUAGUACGAAAGGAAAAAUAGUUGAAGUUAAAAACUUUAUGAUUGUACG